UUUGAUCAUGGCUCAGGAUGAACGCUAGCGGCAGGCCUAACACAUGCAAGUCGAGGGGUAACAGGGAGCUUGCUCCGCUGACGACCGGCGCACGGGUGCGCAACGCGUAUGCAAUCUACCUCUUACUAAGGGAUAGCCCAGAGAAAUUUGGAUUAAUAUCUUAUGUGAUAUGUGACUGGCAUCGGUUACAUAUUAAAGGUUACGGUAAGAGAUGAGCAUGCGUCUCAUUAGUUAGUUGGUAAGGUAACGGCUUACCAAGACUUCGAUGAGUAGGGGUCCUGAGAGGGAGAUCCCCCACACUGGUACUGAGACACGGACCAGACUCCUACGGGAGGCAGCAGUGAGGAAUAUUGGACAAUGGACGGAAGUCUGAUCCAGCCAUGCCGCGUGUAGGAAGACUGCCCUAUGGGUUGUAAACUACUUUUAUACAGGAAGAAUAAGAUCUACGUGUAGAUUGAUGACGGUACUGUAAGAAUAAGGACCGGCUAACUCCGUGCCAGCAGCCGCGGUAAUACGGAGGGUCCGAGCGUUAUCCGGAAUUAUUGGGUUUAAAGGGUCCGUAGGCGGGCUGUUAAGUCAGAGGUGAAAUGCUGCGGCUCAACCGUAUGCACUGCCUUUGAUACUGGCGGUCUUGAGUUAUAGUGAAGUGGCUAGAAUAAGUAGUGUAGCGGUGAAAUGCAUAGAUAUUACUUAGAAUACCGAUUGCGAAGGCAGGUCACUAACUAUACACUGACGCUGAUGGACGAAAGCGUGGGUAGCGAACAGGAUUAGAUACCCUGGUAGUCCACGCCGUAAACGAUGGAUACUAGCUGUUCGGUUUUCGGACUGAGCGGCCAAGCGAAAGUGAUAAGUAUCCCACCUGGGGAGUACGUUCGCAAGAAUGAAACU
Molecule: ribosomal RNA, 888 nt
Filed under: Flavobacteriaceae bacterium GWS-BW-H14M
Lineage: Bacteria; Pseudomonadati; Bacteroidota; Flavobacteriia; Flavobacteriales; Flavobacteriaceae
Description: bacterial SSU rRNA
Rfam family: Bacterial small subunit ribosomal RNA
Source: RNAcentral